Salvia splendens (bonfire salvia) is the source of this 676-nucleotide long non-coding RNA. RefSeq lists it as uncharacterized. NCBI's taxonomy places the organism in Eukaryota, Viridiplantae, Streptophyta, Magnoliopsida, Lamiales, Lamiaceae. The record is from RefSeq and is a predicted model, not a curated record. The transcript has 2 exons.
CACAGCACUUCAUCUUAGCGCCGGCAUUUCAAACCCUACCUCUCCUCCACCUCGCUGAUUCCGCAGCUAACCGCGACAAACGUCACCGGCAACGGAGACACCGACUUCAAACAACGCAAAAUCGGUAGCUUCUACAUCUUCUCACCGAUUGUUCAAACCUAAAACCAUCCCCAAUUCCGUAAACACCACAAAAUAAAAAAAAAAACUAAAUCGAUCUCCAACUUUUAUGCCAUUCUCCGACAGAAUCGAAGAAAUCUACCCUGUGUUCGCAUGAUCUGUGUUCAGGUGCUGUCAAUUCACCAUCUCAAACACCAAUUCUCCGACGAAGCCCUAAAUCUCUCAAAUCUCGCCGUUACUCCGAUAGAAUUAGAGAAAUCCAAGUCGUCUACGACUUACUUUUCACUCCUGCUCUCAAACUCACGGCCUCAAACACAGUCCAGCAACGGAACCAUAAUUACUCGAAACUCACGCCUGGACAAACGACCACGGAAAAACAGAUGCCGCAAAACGGAGACGAAAUGCUCACCAACACCAGAAAAGGGACAAAUUGCAGAGGAAGUAAAUAAUGGAUAAAAAACAACAUUAUUUCAUAAUUGUAUUAUUAUAUUUAAUUUUCCUUAAACAAAACACAAAUUUCAUAGAUAUUUUUAAGUUGAUACUCAUUAUAGGUUUUAAA